UACGUAGGGGGCUAGCGUUGUCCGGAAUCAUUGGGCGUAAAGCGCGUGUAGGCGGUCCGGUAAGUCUGCUGUGAAAGUCGGGGGCUCAACCCUCGGAUGCCGGUGGAUACUGUCGGGCUUGAGUACGGAAGAGGCGAGUGGAAUUCCUGGUGUAGCGGUGAAAUGCGUAGAUAUCUGGAGGAACACCGGUGGCGAAGGCGGCAUCCUGGACCAAUACUGACGCUGAGGAGCGAAAGCCAGGGGAGCAAACGGG
Molecule: ribosomal RNA, 253 nt
Filed under: uncultured bacterium
Lineage: Bacteria
Description: partial 16S ribosomal RNA
Rfam family: Bacterial small subunit ribosomal RNA
Source: RNAcentral